AACUCUUAGCAGUGGAUCACUUAGCUCGUGCGUCGAUGAAGAAGGCAGCUAGAUGCGAGAACUAUUGUGAAUUGCAGGACACAUUGAUCAGACACUUUGAACGCACCUUGCGGCCCCAGGGUCCUCUGAGGGCCGCUUUGCCAUCAAUUGGA
This 152-nucleotide ribosomal RNA is filed under the name Salmo trutta (river trout). RNAcentral's name for it is "5.8S ribosomal RNA (ENSSTUG00000039928.1)". It matches the Rfam family "5.8S ribosomal RNA". From Rfam's summary of the family: 5.8S ribosomal RNA (5.8S rRNA) is a component of the large subunit of the eukaryotic ribosome. It is transcribed by RNA polymerase I as part of the 45S precursor that also contains 18S and 28S rRNA. Functionally, it is thought that 5.8S rRNA may be involved in ribosome translocation. The record is from Rfam by way of RNAcentral. Lineage: Eukaryota; Metazoa; Chordata; Actinopteri; Salmoniformes; Salmonidae.